RNAcentral lists this ribosomal RNA (571 nucleotides) under Meyerozyma guilliermondii. RNAcentral's name for it is "eukaryotic LSU rRNA". It matches the Rfam family "Eukaryotic large subunit ribosomal RNA", at positions 81 to 668 of the family's 3401-position model. Lineage: Eukaryota; Fungi; Ascomycota; Pichiomycetes; Serinales; Debaryomycetaceae. The record is from RNAcentral.
UAGUAGCGGCGAGUGAAGCGGCAAAAGCUCAAAUUUGAAAUCUGGCGCCUUCGGUGUCCGAGUUGUAAUUUGAAGAUUGUAACCUUGGGGUUGGCUCUUGUCUAUGUUUCUUGGAACAGGACGUCACAGAGGGUGAGAAUCCCGUGCGAUGAGAUGCCCAAUUCUAUGUAAGGUGCUUUCGAAGAGUCGAGUUGUUUGGGAAUGCAGCUCUAAGUGGGUGGUAAAUUCCAUCUAAAGCUAAAUAUUGGCGAGAGACCGAUAGCGAACAAGUACAGUGAUGGAAAGAUGAAAAGAACUUUGAAAAGAGAGUGAAAAAGUACGUGAAAUUGUUGAAAGGGAAGGGUUUGAGAUCAGACUCGAUAUUUUGUGAGCCUUGCCUUCGUGGCGGGGUGACCCGCAGCUUAUCGGGCCAGCAUCGGUUUGGGCGGUAGGAUAAUGGCGUAGGAAUGUGACUUUACUUCGGUGAAGUGUUAUAGCCUGCGUUGAUGCUGCCUGCCUAGACCGAGGACUGCGAUUUUAUCAAGGAUGCUGGCAUAAUGAUCCCAAACCGCCCGUCUUGAAACACGAACCA